CCUACGGGGUGCUGCAGUGGGGAAUAUUGCACAAUGGGGGAAACCCUGAUGCAGCGACGCCGCGUGAGUGAAGAAGUAAUUCGUUACGUAAAGCUCUAUCAGCAGGGAAGAAACACUGACCUUACGGUCAGCAGACGGUACCUGAGUACGAAGCCCCGGCUAACUACGUGCCAGCAGCCGCGGUAAUAAGUAGGGGGCAAGCGUUAUCCGGAUUUACUGGGUGUAAAGGGAGCGUAGACGGUGCGCGAAGUCUGGAGUGAAAUGCCGCAGCUUAACUGCGGAACUGCUUUGGAAACUGGCGAACUAGAGUGCGGGAGGGGUAAGCGGAAUUCCUAGUGUAGCGGUGAAAUGCGUAGAUAUUAGGAGGAACACCGGUGGCGAAGGCGGCUUACUGGACCGUAACUGACGUUGAGGCUCGAAAGCGUGGGGAGCAAACAGGAUUAGAUACCCCAGUAGUC
This 458-nucleotide ribosomal RNA is filed under the name uncultured bacterium. RNAcentral's name for it is "partial 16S ribosomal RNA". It matches the Rfam family "Bacterial small subunit ribosomal RNA", at positions 338 to 795 of the family's 1533-position model. The record is from RNAcentral.